AUCUAUAUAGCUCCUGUUUUUCAACGUAUAUUUAAUACCUACAGUUUUAUUUUUUCAUUUAAAAAUUUUGAAUGAUGAAAAAUCUCUGCUAUUUAGAAGAAAUUAUUACAUUUUAUAUCCAUAUUAUGACAUUCUGCAUGCAAAAAGUUAUAAUUUUGAUGUAGGAUGUCAUAAUAUGGCACAGGAUGUCAUAAUUUUUUUUAAGGAGUAGAAGUAUUUUCAUCAUUUAAAAUUUUCAAAUAAAAAAAUGGUACUGUAGGAAUUAAAUGCGCAUUGAAAAGUG
Molecule: long non-coding RNA, 283 nt
Filed under: Elaeis guineensis (African oil palm)
Lineage: Eukaryota; Viridiplantae; Streptophyta; Magnoliopsida; Arecales; Arecaceae
Description: long non-coding RNA (EGUI_LNC023816)
Source: RNAcentral